CCUACGGGUGGCAGCAGUGAGGAAUAUUGGUCAAUGGGCGCGAGCCUGAACCAGCCAAGUCGCGUGAGGGAAGACGGUCCUAUGGAUUGUAAACCUCUUUUGUCGGGGAGCAAAAGACGCCACUCGUGGCGUUCCGAGAGUACCCGAAGAAAAAGCAUCGGCUAACUCCGUACCAUCAGCCGCGGUAAUACGUGGGGUGCGAGCGUUAUCCGGAUUUAUUGGGGUUAACGGGUGAUCAGGCGGAAGAUCAAGUCAGCGGUAAACUUGAGAGGCUCAACCUCUUCGAGCCGUUGAAACUGGUUGUCUUGAGUGAGCGAGAGGUAUGCGGAAUGCGUGGUGUAGCGGUGAAAUGCAUAGAGAUCACGCAGAACUCCGAUUGCGAAGGCAGCAUACCGGCGCUCAACUGACGCUCAUGCACGAAAGUGUGGGUAUCGAACAGGAUUAGAUACCCCUGUAGUC
RNAcentral lists this ribosomal RNA (459 nucleotides) under uncultured bacterium. Its description in RNAcentral is "partial 16S ribosomal RNA". It matches the Rfam family "Bacterial small subunit ribosomal RNA", at positions 338 to 795 of the family's 1533-position model. The record is from RNAcentral.